This 446-nucleotide ribosomal RNA is filed under the name uncultured bacterium. RNAcentral's name for it is "partial 16S ribosomal RNA". It matches the Rfam family "Bacterial small subunit ribosomal RNA", at positions 338 to 795 of the family's 1533-position model. The record is from RNAcentral.
CCUACGGGAGGCUGCAGUCGAGAAUCAUUCACAAUGGGGGAAACCCUGAUGGUGCGACGCCGCGUGUGGGAAUAAAGCUCUUCGGUUUGUAAACCCCUUUCAUGUGGGAGCAAAUGAAAAAGAUAGUACCACAAGAGGAAGAGCCGGCUAACAAUGCGCCAGCAGCCGAGGUAAUACCGAGGGCUGAAGCGUUGUUCGUGAUGGCUUGGCGUAAAUCGUGUGUAGGCAGGUUGGUCAGUCGUGGGUUAAAGGCUCGGGUUCAUCCCGCGGACGGCAGAUGAUACUGCGAGACUAGAGUAAUGGAGAGGGAACCGGAAUUCGCGGUGUAGCGGUGAAAUGCGUAGAUAUCGAGAGGAACACACGUGGCGAAGGCGGGUGCCUGGACAUUAACUGACGCUGAGGCACGAAGGCGAGGGGAGCGAAAGGGAUUAGAUACCCCGGUAGUC